AGCGUACACGGUGGAUGCCCUGGCAGUCAGAGGCGAUGAAGGACGUGCUAAUCUGCGAUAAGCGUCGGUAAGGUGAUAUGAACCGUUAUAACCGGCGAUUUCCGAAUGGGGAAACCCAGUGUGUUUCGACACACUAUCAUUAACUGAAUCCAUAGGUUAAUGAGGCGAACCGGGGGAACUGAAACAUCUAAGUACCCCGAGGAAAAGAAAUCAACCGAGAUUCCCCCAGUAGCGGCGAGCGAACGGGGAGGAGCCCAGAGCCUGAAUCAGUGUGUGUGUUAGUGGAAGCGUCUGGAAAGGCGCGCGAUACAGGGUGACAGCCCCGUACACAAAAAUGCACAUGCUGUGAGCUCGAUGAGUAGGGCGGGACACGUGGUAUCCUGUCUGAAUAUGGGGGGACCAUCCUCCAAGGCUAAAUACUCCUGACUGACCGAUAGUGAACCAGUACCGUGAGGGAAAGGCGAAAAGAACCCCGGCGAGGGGAGUGAAAAAGAACCUGAAACCGUGUACGUACAAGCAGUGGGAGCACGCUUAGGCGUGUGACUGCGUACCUUUUGUAUAAUGGGUCAGCGACUUAUAUUCUGUAGCAAGGUUAACCGAAUAGGGGAGCCGAAGGGAAACCGAGUCUUAACUGGGCGUUAAGUUGCAGGGUAUAGACCCGAAACCCGGUGAUCUAGCCAUGGGCAGGUUGAAGGUUGGGUAACACUAACUGGAGGACCGAACCGACUAAUGUUGAAAAAUUAGCGGAUGACUUGUGGCUGGGGGUGAAAGGCCAAUCAAACCGGGAGAUAGCUGGUUCUCCCCGAAAGCUAUUUAGGUAGCGCCUCGUGAAUUCAUCUCCGGGGGUAGAGCACUGUUUCGGCAAGGGGGUCAUCCCGACUUACCAACCCGAUGCAAACUGCGAAUACCGGAGAAUGUUAUCACGGGAGACACACGGCGGGUGCUAACGUCCGUCGUGAAGAGGGAAACAACCCAGACCGCCAGCUAAGGUCCCAAAGUCAUGGUUAAGUGGGAAACGAUGUGGGAAGGCCCAGACAGCCAGGAUGUUGGCUUAGAAGCAGCCAUCAUUUAAAGAAAGCGUAAUAGCUCACUGGUCGAGUCGGCCUGCGCGGAAGAUGUAACGGGGCUAAACCAUGCACCGAAGCUGCGGCAGCGACGCUUAUGCGUUGUUGGGUAGGGGAGCGUUCUGUAAGCCUGUGAAGGUGUGCUGUGAGGCAUGCUGGAGGUAUCAGAAGUGCGAAUGCUGACAUAAGUAACGAUAAAGCGGGUGAAAAGCCCGCUCGCCGGAAGACCAAGGGUUCCUGUCCAACGUUAAUCGGGGCAGGGUGAGUCGACCCCUAAGGCGAGGCCGAAAGGCGUAGUCGAUGGGAAACAGGUUAAUAUUCCUGUACUUGGUGUUACUGCGAAGGGGGGACGGAGAAGGCUAUGUUGGCCGGGCGACGGUUGUCCCGGUUUAAGCGUGUAGGCUGGUUUUCCAGGCAAAUCCGGAAAAUCAAGGCUGAGGCGUGAUGACGAGGCACUACGGUGCUGAAGCAACAAAUGCCCUGCUUCCAGGAAAAGCCUCUAAGCAUCAGGUAACAUCAAAUCGUACCCCAAACCGACACAGGUGGUCAGGUAGAGAAUACCAAGGCGCUUGAGAGAACUCGGGUGAAGGAACUAGGCAAAAUGGUGCCGUAACUUCGGGAGAAGGCACGCUGAUAUGUAGGUGAAGUCCCUUGCGGAUGGAGCUGAAAUCAGUCGAAGAUACCAGCUGGCUGCAACUGUUUAUUAAAAACACAGCACUGUGCAAACACGAAAGUGGACGUAUACGGUGUGACGCCUGCCCGGUGCCGGAAGGUUAAUUGAUGGGGUCAGCGCAAGCGAAGCUCUUGAUCGAAGCCCCGGUAAACGGCGGCCGUAACUAUAACGGUCCUAAGGUAGCGAAAUUCCUUGUCGGGUAAGUUCCGACCUGCACGAAUGGCGUAAUGAUGGCCAGGCUGUCUCCACCCGAGACUCAGUGAAAUUGAACUCGCUGUGAAGAUGCAGUGUACCCGCGGCAAGACGGAAAGACCCCGUGAACCUUUACUAUAGCUUGACACUGAACAUUGAGCCUUGAUGUGUAGGAUAGGUGGGAGGCUUUGAAGUGUGGACGCCAGUCUGCAUGGAGCCGACCUUGAAAUACCACCCUUUAAUGUUUGAUGUUCUAACGUUGACCCGUAAUCCGGGUUGCGGACAGUGUCUGGUGGGUAGUUUGACUGGGGCGGUCUCCUCCUAAAGAGUAACGGAGGAGCACGAAGGUUGGCUAAUCCUGGUCGGACAUCAGGAGGUUAGUGCAAUGGCAUAAGCCAGCUUGACUGCGAGCGUGACGGCGCGAGCAGGUGCGAAAGCAGGUCAUAGUGAUCCGGUGGUUCUGAAUGGAAGGGCCAUCGCUCAACGGAUAAAAGGUACUCCGGGGAUAACAGGCUGAUACCGCCCAAGAGUUCAUAUCGACGGCGGUGUUUGGCACCUCGAUGUCGGCUCAUCACAUCCUGGGGCUGAAGUAGGUCCCAAGGGUAUGGCUGUUCGCCAUUUAAAGUGGUACGCGAGCUGGGUUUAGAACGUCGUGAGACAGUUCGGUCCCUAUCUGCCGUGGGCGCUGGAGAACUGAGGGGGGCUGCUCCUAGUACGAGAGGACCGGAGUGGACGCAUCACUGGUGUUCGGGUUGUCAUGCCAAUGGCACUGCCCGGUAGCUAAAUGCGGAAGAGAUAAGUGCUGAAAGCAUCUAAGCACGAAACUUGCCCCGAGAUGAGUUCUCCCUGACUCCUUGA
This 2787-nucleotide ribosomal RNA is filed under the name human gut metagenome. RNAcentral's name for it is "bacterial LSU rRNA". It matches the Rfam family "Bacterial large subunit ribosomal RNA". The record is from RNAcentral.